GGGGGUGAGCGUGGCCUGGAGCAGCAAGCCCAUAGCUCCCUCAACCAUCAUGCUAAUCUCUUCUUGUUAUUCAUCCUGAAUCUAUGGUGCACAUACAGUACAUGCUUAUGUAUUGUCUCAAUGAUUAUCCUUUUUUAGGAUUCAACUUGCGUUUUGUGCAAUUUCAUAUACUCAAUCAAUAAAUUCUCAGUUUUUUUGCAGGAUUUGUGUUUGUUCGGAUGCUUAGGUGCAGCUGCAUCAAGGGAAUUGGCCGAUGGUGUGCAAUACAUAGACAAAGCAAAA
Molecule: long non-coding RNA, 282 nt
Filed under: Triticum aestivum (bread wheat)
Lineage: Eukaryota; Viridiplantae; Streptophyta; Magnoliopsida; Poales; Poaceae
Description: long non-coding RNA (TAES_LNC020439)
Source: RNAcentral